AGAGCGCGUGUGGCCGCCGAGCACAUGGGCCCGCGGGCCGGUCGCGCUCGGGGCGGCCCGGGCGAGGAGGGGCGGCCGGGAGCCGCGAACGAGGAUGGGCCCUGGCACCCCGGAACCCCCAAGUGGAUUUCCACGCGGAAAGGAUGUUGGCGGCCCCGGUGACCUGUGGAGAUACGGCGGGAUCCACCCUCCA
Microcebus murinus (gray mouse lemur) is the source of this 193-nucleotide unclassified non-coding RNA. The record is from Ensembl. NCBI's taxonomy places the organism in Eukaryota, Metazoa, Chordata, Mammalia, Primates, Cheirogaleidae.